This is a long non-coding RNA of Drosophila mojavensis, 1693 nucleotides long. RefSeq lists it as uncharacterized. The record is from RefSeq and is a predicted model, not a curated record. The transcript is spliced from 5 exons. NCBI's taxonomy places the organism in Eukaryota, Metazoa, Arthropoda, Insecta, Diptera, Drosophilidae.
GAACCUUUCUUCAAGGUGUAGUGCAAAGGCUUCGGCCUUCUCAGCAGUGGAUUUACACCAGACCCUGUCCGCAGGUCUAGCAUCGCUGCUAGACUUUAUGAGUGCUCAAUCAUUUGCAAGGUUUGUCUGUCUAUGUGGAAAGCUUUCCUGGAUGUGUGACGGUUGAAGGGCACUGGAAUAGGAUUCGCUCGGGAAGCCGCCUCACAGAUGUUUCUUUCAAGAAUAUCCACUGCAUGGUCAAGAUCUGCUGCACAUCUAAUUUCAGUGUUGAUUUUAGAAGAUGGCUAUUUAUUGUGUUGACAGCUGGAGCUUCACGAUAAUAAAUAAUUAGUGGAAGAUGAUCGGAACUAAGGUGAUGAGAAUCUUCAAUCUGAAGUAGUUCGCGACGAAUGCCUUUAUAUAUGGCGAAGUCAAUGGCGGAAGGCGAAUGGCGGGGAUUGUAUGGGAAGAGCGUGAGUUUCCCCACCACUGGCUUCGAGCGUUCCAGUCGCCUCCUAUGAUGUAGGCAUCCCCCAAGGAUAAGAACAGUUCAUGGAAAUCACUAUCAGACCAUCUUUGUUGUGGUGGGCAGUAGACGGAGGCAAUGUUAAUGGUUUUACUGGGAAGGAGAUUUAGCGAAACAACAGCACAUUGACAUCGCGCUGUAGGUGGAAUAUGGAGGGCAUAGUGCCUUAUGCUAUUUUUAAUGACAACUGCAACACCACCUCUUCGCCUAUUAGAAGGAUGGUUUGCUGUGUAAGCAGAGUACCCUUGAAUUUUAAUUGAGUCAGAAUCAAUAAGCUCUAGUUCAACCUCAAAUAAGUCUAGUGGCUGAUUUGUGAAGCGAGAUUUAAUAACUCUGAGAAACCUAACUGAGUGGCCCAAAUUACUUAGGUGAUCGCGGAUCCAUGUGUCUGGAGUGGAGUGGUGGAGGUACCUUAAAAUAACUCUAAGGCCACGCUCACUUCUUAGCUGGUAUGUGUGACUCUCAAUGUUAUUUUCUUUGAGAUAAUUAUUAAGCUUCCUAUAUGAAGGGAUGUCAACACACUGCACCCUGAAUCCAUGACCUGCAGCCGGCUUGGUGGUGAAGUUAUCUUCACCAAUAAUCUGACUUAGGUCAUUAAUCAGCUUGAUAAUAUCGCUGUAGCCUGAUAUAUACAUAGGGGCAGGCUUAAGAAUCAUUUGGUCGCGCGUUUUGUCUGUGACAUUUGGGGGCGCUAUUUGAAUGUCACUAAUGGCCUUUGAAUUCUUGGCUGGAUUGAGUUUAACAUGAUUGGCCUGGGCCGAGGCUUUUGCAUUUGGUUGAAUAUUAUCAGCAUCCAUUUCCAUAAAGCUAUCAAUGGAAUCGCUAUCAAUGACAUCAACGGUGUCUAUCGGCACUUGUUUUUUAUUUGUUCUUGGGCUAUUGCCCUUAGUGGCAACACGCUUGGGUGCUUUUUCAUUGCUUUCACAAGUCUUAAUUGAGUUGUUUUUUGGCUUUGGGACAACAUUAUAUUUUAAUUGCUGGGAUGCAGCAGCGGCUGCAGCAACCCGAGAAGUUGAGGGGAGUAAAGAUAGGCUUCUUUCAUUUUUGAUUUUAUUGAAUACCUUUGACAGUGCAGUUGAUGCCACGUGUUUUCGGUCGUCAAGCGGCAUUUCGACAUCAAUGUCUUCGUCUUCGCUCUCCUCGCAUGUCUUUGGAGUAGACAUGUUUGUGAAUGGAUACACCAGUAGA